This 486-nucleotide ribosomal RNA is filed under the name uncultured Geobacter sp. RNAcentral describes it as "bacterial SSU rRNA". It matches the Rfam family "Bacterial small subunit ribosomal RNA", at positions 903 to 1382 of the family's 1533-position model. The record is from RNAcentral. Lineage: Bacteria; Pseudomonadati; Thermodesulfobacteriota; Desulfuromonadia; Geobacterales; Geobacteraceae.
CUACAAAUGAAUUGACGGGGCCGCGACAAGCGGUGGAGCAUGUGGUUUAAUUCGACGCAACGCGAAGAACCUUACCAGGGCUUGACAUUCCCUGACCGCGUAUGAAAGUACGUUUCACCUCGGGUGGACAGGGAGACAGGUGGUGCAUGGUUGUCGUCAGCUCGUGUCGUGAGAUGUUGGGUUAAGUCCCGCAACGAGCGCAACCCCUAUCCUCAGUUGCCAUCAUUAAGUUUGGGCACUCUGUGGAGACUGCCGGUGGUCAAACCGGAGGAAGGUGGGGGAUGACGUCAAGUCCUCAUGGCCCUUAUGACCAGGGCUACACACGUGCUACAAUGGCCGGUACAAAGAGUUGCGAUACCGCGAGGUGGAGCUAAUCUCAUAAAGCCGGUCUCAGUUCGGAUUGGAGUCUGCAACUCGACUCCAUGAAGUUGGAAUCGCUAGUAAUCGCGGAUCAGCACGCCCGCGGUCGAAUACGUUCCGGGCCUU